Molecule: long non-coding RNA, 2637 nt
Filed under: Mus musculus (house mouse)
Lineage: Eukaryota; Metazoa; Chordata; Mammalia; Rodentia; Muridae
Description: long non-coding RNA chr3:29209341-29211978
Source: RNAcentral
AGAACAGAUAUAAGGUCUAAUUCUUGGCAGUCUCAGUGUUCAGGGUUAAACAGAACCAUGUGACUGUCUAUGAACAGUACAAGGUAAGCAUUUGCAUGCAUGUUAUUUCAGGUUGAACCAAGCAGAAGUCCCCAUCUCUCCAUUCUGCUUUAGCAAUUAUGGACAGAGGCCAUAAGCAAAUUAUAAAUAUACUGUUAUUAAGCCACUGAGAUUUGGAAGGUAUCUAUAAUUAAUUUGGAAUUAAUCUAUAAUAAUCACUGGAUGCCUUUUCUGUCAUAGAGAAAACAAGGAAUCUCUCGGUCCAUCCUGUAUGUCUUUAAGCAUUUUCCAUCUUAGUUUUCCUUUAUUUCCUCUCAUAAAAUUUUCAACUGAAAGUGUUGUGCUCAUGGUCAGUUCCUUUAGCAAUGGUUUUGUGACUCUAUUUCCUUCUAGCCUGUGUGACUGACUCUGCCUUCCAUAUAAGCCAUAGGAUGUUGGCUUAUAAAUAUUUAUAACUUCUUAUGCUAGUAUUGCACAUUAUGUGCCUUUCCUCCUCCAAGCAUUUUAAAUAUAUCUACUUAUAAUUUUUAGAUAGUUGCAUUGUUUCACCCCUGGCAUGAUUACGCUCUCUCCGUGUAGGCUGUCUUUCCUGGCACUUUCCCAGGAUGGUAUUGGAGUUUUCACUUGCUAGAUAAUGUUAUGGAGAGAGAUCUGUGUUGUUGCUCUGAAGUUUGGUUUGGGUUUUGGUUUUCAGCCUCUUCCUGUCGAGCUCUUAUAUCUUGCCUGACUGGUUCUGCUGUUCACUUAUCCAGCUCUCUUCAGUUUGGAGCUGCCUCUGCCUACAUCCUGGCUUUCAGAUCCUGCUAUACUGAUAUAUUGUAGUGAUAUAUUUCUCUAGCUCAGUCUACAAAUGUUGAUCCAUGCCCAGGAUGCGCACCAGUGCUGACUCCCACACAUUACCUGGCUGAAGUUUAAGUAGUUUCAACAUUGAUAUGAUGUUUAUUUUUUGUUAACUUGACACAAAUUAGACACCUGGGAGACUGAAGCUCAGCUGAGGAAUUGUUCUGUUCUAUUGUUCCAUCAAAUUGUUCUGUGGGCACAUCUCUGAGACACUUUUCUUAAUUGCAGCAGGCCCCAGCCACUGAACAUGGUACAUCGCUAGGCAAGUAGGCCUGGACUGUAUAAGAAAAGUGGUUGAGCAAGCCAGUGUACAUCAUUCUUCAUGUUUUGUGCUUUACUUCCUGCCUCCAACUUCCUGCCUUGAACAUGUGUCCUAGCUUCUCUAUCUCUCUUUUUUAUUCUUUAAUCAUUUUUUACAGCCCAGUCUUUAUGUCCCUCCCAGUCUGUGUGCUUACUGUUUCACAUCCCAUACCUCCUUCUCAUCCUUAUCUCCAAGAGGAUAAUCCCACCUCCCCAACAUCCCACUCCCACCACAUCAGACCUCCCCACUCCCUGGGGCCUCAAGUCUCUUGAGGGUUAGGUGCAUCUUCUCUCACUGAGUCGAGACCCAGCAGUCGUCUGCUGUAUGAUGAACAGUAACCUUUAGGCUGAAAAAACUGCCCCACAAAUCAUUUCUGUCAGUGUCUUAUCCAAGCAGACGCAAGUGAAGUAGAACACUUACAUAGUGGUCACUACUUUGUAGUACUUUCUUUAAUAAGUCAGGGUGACUGAACCCAACCUGGAGUUUCUGGCUUGGUCCCCUGACAUAAGUGAAACAUGUAUCACACUGCCCUAAAAUUUCUUUUUAUUUUUAGAAGCUUUUGAUGAUUGCAUUCCUAUUCCAUGAUGUUUAUCUUCUUACUGGGUAUAACACUUUCUAACAUAAUAUUAUCUUCUAAAUUAUUGUGCAUAUAUAUCACGUGAUAUAUAUUCAUAAUCAUAUUUAUGUAUGUGUAUAUUUCUUGGCCUUUUCUAGGUUUAGAUCAAAAAGAGUACUUUAGCCUAAACUCUUGAUUACAUCUUAAUAAGAAGGGGAAAAAAAAUCUUCAUUUAAAUGAGAUUAACCUGUGGGUUCUCAUAUGAUCCUUCUCUGACUGCAAAUUAUAGAUAUUCAAUUUCAUCUGAUUUCCUACCAAUGUCUUUGACUUAAUUCAUUAAUGCAAAAAUUUGGUGUGUGGCAAGACACUUGACGGUGUCCAAGAGGGCAAGGCUGUGCCCUGUAGAGAACCCUUAAAUAGGCUUUCCACUCAGCUCUUCCCUUUCUCUCGGAGGAGCAUGGAGUAACACAGCUUAUCAGUCUUCUCAUAUUUGGCAUCUUUAUAUUAGUUUUCUUUUCUUUACUCUUGAUUCAGUGAUAUUUGUAAUGAUAAUUUAAUGGAAAAAUACAUGUGGAUAUAUGAGAAUGUUAGGGUGACAUUAUUUAAUAGGAAGCGAGGAACAGCUAAGUGAAGAAGAGCCACUCUCAUAAUUCUACGCUGCUGUGCUGAGAUGAAAUUAGAGCCACCCCAUUGUAUGCUGCUGAGCCCUUUGCCAUCAUGUCUCAGUGGCAGCAAAGAUGCAGUAUCCUCUCCUGGAACGACUUGGAGAUGCAAGUCUCACCUUCAAGGUGGCUUUUCCUUCGUUUUAACGCCGUGAUCUUCUGUGACAAUACUUUCCUAGGGAAUCAAAUCAUUAAAGAAUUCCAAUAAGCAGUUUUGCACAUCACUGGAGAUCUCUUAC